RNAcentral lists this ribosomal RNA (497 nucleotides) under uncultured bacterium. RNAcentral describes it as "partial 16S ribosomal RNA". It matches the Rfam family "Bacterial small subunit ribosomal RNA", at positions 28 to 507 of the family's 1533-position model. The record is from RNAcentral.
GAUGAACGCUGGCGGCGUGCCUAAUACAUGCAAGUCGAGCGAACAGACGAGGAGCUUGCUCCUCUGACGUUAGCGGCGGACGGGUGAGUAACACGUGGAUAACCUACCUAUAAGACUGGGAUAACUUCGGGAAACCGGAGCUAAUACCGGAUAAUAUAUUGAACCGCAUGGUUCAAUAGUGAAAGACGGUUUUGCUGUCACUUAUAGAUGGAUCCGCGCCGCAUUAGCUAGUUGGUAAGGUAACGGCUUACCAAGGCAACGAUGCGUAGCCGACCUGAGAGGGUGAUCGGCCACACUGGAACUGAGACACGGUCCAGACUCCUACGAGAGGCAGCAGUAGGGAAUGUUCCGCAAUGGGCGAAAGCCUGACGGAGCAACGCCGCGUGAGUGAUGAAGGUCUUCGGAUCGUAAAACUCUGUUAUUAGGGAAGAACAAAUGUGUAAGUAACUAUGCACGUCUUGACGGUACCUAAUCAGAAAGCCACGGCUAACUACGUG